Molecule: long non-coding RNA, 329 nt
Filed under: Ixodes scapularis (black-legged tick)
Lineage: Eukaryota; Metazoa; Arthropoda; Arachnida; Ixodida; Ixodidae
Description: uncharacterized LOC115327681, transcript variant X3
Source: RNAcentral
UGAAGGCCUGUCAUCGACCCUUGAGUUCCUUCAGAGAGGUUUCCUGAGCAUGAACCCUGACCGUGGCACCAGAGCCAAGCGCUCCAAGUCAGAAGUGAACAAGAAAGUACUUAACCUGGUCAAGAAAAUAGCAGAGCUGGAGUGGAAUGUGUGAGGCUGUCGGUCAUCCUAUGUGGGAACGAGGCAUGCAACAUGGGGCUCGGGCUCAUUCAACACAAGGUCUUGGCACCAGGAAGAUUUCAGCAGCCAUAAGCAAUGGCACUUGGGUCUAAAUUUGAUCAGAGGGUAUAUGGACCUGGGUCCUCAUCAUCCAAGUAAAUAAAUGUUCU